This is a long non-coding RNA of Gasterosteus aculeatus aculeatus (three-spined stickleback), 433 nucleotides long. NCBI's taxonomy places the organism in Eukaryota, Metazoa, Chordata, Actinopteri, Perciformes, Gasterosteidae. The record is from Ensembl.
GCCAAAGCAGCGAGAUAUCAUCACCGUUUCAUUGGAUACAGAUCGCUGAGUGCAACGCCCUUCAGUUAUCGCACUGGGAGCGGGUGAUGGAGCUCGCUGCCAAACUCCAGGCCACCUACUCUCUCCACACUGGGCCGCAGCACACCACCUUCCGUGCGCGGGCCGCUGCGACCUCCCGACCCCGCUGGGCCGCAGUGCACCUCCUUCUGCGCUGGGCUGCAGCAACCUCCUGAUCCAGCUCCACGACUCCUGCCCCCGGCGCCACUGUGCCCAGAUUCCCGUGUCCCGCAGCCGGCGCCUCCGGCUUCCCGUGUUCUGCAGCCGGCGCCUCCGGCUUCCCGUGUUCUGCAGCCGGCGCCCUCGGCUUCCCGUGUCCUGCAGCCGGCGACUCCGGCAAACUGACCGACCUCCGGGCCGACCCCCAUAGGCUCCC